UUCAAACUUUGUACAGAUUUUUAUACCAUGCUUUUCUAAUUAAACACAUGAAUCUUAUUAAAACUCAAUUUAAAUGCUAAACUAAAUUCAAUCAAUUUCAAUUAAUCUCCAUUAACUAUACAUUAAUCAGAAGGAGAAUUAAAAAGGAAUUAGGUUUACGUGUUUUGUGAGACUCAGGCUUGUUCUUCUCCUCUUCACGAGACCGGCGGCGCAAACUCUCUCUCCGGCGAAUUCGCCGCCGUGAGCAAACACAGCCUUCCACUCGUCUCUUCUCUCAUUGAUUUCCCCUCCGAUACCUCUCGCUCUCUCUCAAACGCGCUCUCUUAUCUCAAUCUUUUGUCACUAUCUGAUUCAAAUCCGUCUCUCUGUGUUAUUGAUGAUUUAGCCGCGAUGUUGUUAUUGCUAUUUGAUGAAAUUUGCAUUGUUGUUGUUGUUGAAUGUUGUUCUUGCAGGCGAAUAAUGAUGUGAUGUUGAAGGUUGCGAUGCGUGGCGGUGGCGAUGGCGAAGGUGGAUGCAAUGCGUGCCGAUGGCGAAGGUGGAUGCGAUGAACGAAGUUUGUUCGUGAAGAUUACACAGAGAACGAUGAUUCUCCGUGAGAUGAUGAAGAUGAUGAUCGAUGAUGAUGAUGAUGAUGAAGAGUUUGAAGAUUAUCAGCGUUACUCGAGUAUUCCCGGUUGAGAGGUUAUGAAGGUGAUGACGACGAUGAAGCGUCGAUGAUGAACAUUACAAUUCGGUUAUCAUGAAUAUUUUCCGGAAUUUGUAUCAAGUGAUGAACGAAGCAAGAGAGAUUGAAGAUUGUUGGAGAAGGUUGAAGAGUGAGAUAUUGAUGGAAGAUUUGAGAAGUGAGAUCGAAGAUUGUUCAAUUGAGAGGUUGAAGAUUGGGCGAAGGUUGUGGAUCCGAAGGAGUCUUUCCGUUACAUUUUUCUGUGAGUGUUCGGUGAUUGUUAUGAAUGGAGGAGGAAGAUUGAAGAUGAUGGAGAUUGUGAAUUGAGAAGAAGAGUUUGUUACCAAUCUCUCUUUUCUGUUAUCAUUUUUCUUUUGCUGAUUUUUUGUUAUGAAUUUGUUGUGAACUCCUGGAAUUCCGUUAGAAAUCACAUGCUAUCGGAUCAAUUUUUGUUCUGCAGGGAGUUGGCUCCGCCUUAUCUUAGAUGCUGGAUGCAGGGCCGCAUCUUAAACUGAUUUAGCCGAGUUAUCGUUAUGGUUUGUUGGUGAAGUGCAAGCUAUGGCGUGAAUUAGUGCAAGUCGGUCCCUUUGGAAUGGAGUAACGCCUCUCAAACUUCAGCAUAACAGGGACUUGUUCUUUCACUCCUUUGGAUAAUUUUUGUAACAUUUUUAAUACAUUUUUGUAAUUGGAUUUUGAAUGUAACUUGAUUUUUUGUAAAGGAUUUGUAUUGUGAUUGUAAUGGAUUGAACUUUAGAAUGGUGUAAUGUAUUGGACUUUUGAAUUUUGAA
Long non-coding RNA from Vicia villosa (hairy vetch), 1452 nucleotides. RefSeq lists it as uncharacterized. The transcript has 2 exons. NCBI's taxonomy places the organism in Eukaryota, Viridiplantae, Streptophyta, Magnoliopsida, Fabales, Fabaceae. The record is from RefSeq and is a predicted model, not a curated record.